RNAcentral lists this ribosomal RNA (274 nucleotides) under uncultured bacterium. Its description in RNAcentral is "partial 16S ribosomal RNA". It matches the Rfam family "Bacterial small subunit ribosomal RNA", at positions 523 to 796 of the family's 1533-position model. The record is from RNAcentral.
CCACGGGGGGGGCAAGCGUUGUCCGGAUUCACUGGGCGUAAAGGGCGUGUAGGCGGGCAGGCAAGUCGAAGGUGAAAUUCUACGGCUCAACCGUAGAACUGCCUUCGAUACUGCUUGUCUUGAGUUCGGGAGAGGGAGGCGGAAUUCCCGGUGUAGCGGUGAAAUGCGUAGAUAUCGGGAAGAACACCGGUGGCGAAGGCGGCCUCCUGGCCCGAUACUGACGCUGAGGCGCGAAAGCGUGGGGAGCAAACAGGAUUAGAAACCCUAGUAGUCC